AACGAACGCUGGCGGCAUGCCUAACACAUGCAAGUCGAACGAGACCUUCGGGUCUAGUGGCGCACGGGUGCGUAACGCGUGGGAAUCUGCCCUUGGUUCGGAAUAACAGUUAGAAAUGACUGCUAAUACCGGAUGAUGACGAAAGUCCAAAGAUUUAUCGCCGAGGGAUGAGCCCGCGUAGGAUUAGCUAGUUGGUGAGGUAAAGGCUCACCAAGGCGACGAUCCUUAGCUGGUCUGAGAGGAUGGUCAGCCACACUGGGACUGAGACACGGCCCAGACUCCUACGGGAGGCAGCAGUGGGGAAUAUUGGACAAUGGCGAAAGCCUGAUCCAGCAAU
Molecule: ribosomal RNA, 337 nt
Filed under: uncultured bacterium
Lineage: Bacteria
Description: bacterial SSU rRNA
Rfam family: Bacterial small subunit ribosomal RNA
Source: RNAcentral